RNAcentral lists this ribosomal RNA (465 nucleotides) under Vreelandella stevensii. Its description in RNAcentral is "partial 16S ribosomal RNA". It matches the Rfam family "Bacterial small subunit ribosomal RNA", at positions 338 to 795 of the family's 1533-position model. The record is from RNAcentral. Lineage: Bacteria; Pseudomonadati; Pseudomonadota; Gammaproteobacteria; Oceanospirillales; Halomonadaceae.
CCUACGGGGGGCUGCAGUGGGGAAUAUUGGACAAUGGGGGCAACCCUGAUCCAGCCAUGCCGCGUGUGUGAAGAAGGCCCUCGGGUUGUAAAGCACUUUCAGUGAGGAAGAACGCCUGGUGGUUAAUACCCAUCAGGAAAGACAUCACUCACAGAAGAAGCGCCGGCUAACUCCGUGCCAGCAGCCGCGGUAAUACGGAGGGUGCGAGCGUUAAUCGGAAUUACUGGGCGUAAAGCGCGCGUAGGUGGCUUGAUAAGCCGGUUGUGAAAGCCCCGGGCUCAACCUGGGAACGGCAUCCGGAACUGUCAAGCUAGAGUGCAGGAGAGGAAGGUAGAAUUCCCGGUGUAGCGGUGAAAUGCGUAGAGAUCGGGAGGAAUACCAGUGGCGAAGGCGGCCUUCUGGACUGACACUGACACUGAGGUGCGAAAGCGUGGGUAGCAAACAGGAUUAGAUACCCGAGUAGUC